RNAcentral lists this transfer RNA (68 nucleotides) under Marmota monax (woodchuck). RNAcentral describes it as "tRNA.Ala". The stretch from base 5 to 65 matches the Rfam family "tRNA", at positions 6 to 65 of the family's 71-position model. From Rfam's summary of the family: Transfer RNA (tRNA) molecules are approximately 80 nucleotides in length. Their secondary structure includes four short double-helical elements and three loops (D, anti-codon, and T loops). Further hydrogen bonds mediate the characteristic L-shaped molecular structure. tRNAs have two regions of fundamental functional importance: the anti-codon, which is responsible for specific mRNA codon recognition, and the 3' end, to which the tRNAs corresponding amino acid is attached (by aminoacyl-tRNA synthetases). tRNAs cope with the degeneracy of the genetic code in two manners: having more than one tRNA (with a specific anti-codon) for a particular amino acid; and 'wobble' base-pairing, i.e. permitting non-standard base-pairing at the 3rd anti-codon position. Lineage: Eukaryota; Metazoa; Chordata; Mammalia; Rodentia; Sciuridae. The record is from RNAcentral.
GGAUUGUGGCUCAGUGGUAGAACGCUUGCCUAGCAUGUGAGAGGCCCUGGGUUCAUUCCCCAGCACCA